UACGUAGGUGGCAAGCGUUGUCAGGAUUUAAUGGGCGUAAAGAGCGCGCAGGCGGUCGGAUAAGUCGAAUGUGAAAGCCCCCGGCUCAACUGGGGAGGGUCAUUCGAUACUGUUCGACUCGAAGGCAGGAGAGGGAAGUGGAAUUCCCGGUGUAGUGGUGAAAUGCGUAGAUAUCGGGAGGAACACCAGUGGCGAAGGCGACUUCCUGGCCUGUUCUUGACGCUGAGGCGCGAAAGCUAGGGGAGCAAACGGG
RNAcentral lists this ribosomal RNA (253 nucleotides) under uncultured bacterium. RNAcentral describes it as "partial 16S ribosomal RNA". It matches the Rfam family "Bacterial small subunit ribosomal RNA", at positions 524 to 776 of the family's 1533-position model. The record is from RNAcentral.